GCUAUGAAUAUGAGCUUGUUGCUCCUUUGUUGAGCAAUACUUUGCUAGUAAUGAACCCAGAGUUCCCUUACGUAACUCAUGCCAACUUCUUUGCUAAGCGCAAGAACACUGAUUCCCCUUUGGAGCUCUUUUUUACUGAGGUGGUACGGUGGCAUGUGGUGACUUUUUCGGGAAAGUUCUCAAGUGUUGUAUAUUGACACCUCGACUCAUUGAUUCUUCUCAAGUUACUACGAUGAGUAUUGAGUUCUGAUCAUCUUGUAGAGAUUUUGCAUCCUGAAGAUGUACAAUGUACUCAAUGCAAGCUUUCACAAUGCUGCGAUAGUGACUGACGAUGAUUGAUUGUGAUUGCUCAAACAAACUUUCCCACCCUUUUAUUGUUUGUAAAAGUGUAGCUUGCACUCUUUUACUCUUUCAGAAUGGUUAUGUAUUACGCCUUUUCUAUAUAUGUCAAUGAGCUUUCCUUCAA
Long non-coding RNA from Spinacia oleracea (spinach), 466 nucleotides. RefSeq lists it as uncharacterized. Lineage: Eukaryota; Viridiplantae; Streptophyta; Magnoliopsida; Caryophyllales; Amaranthaceae. The transcript is spliced from 2 exons. The record is from RefSeq and is a predicted model, not a curated record.